AACGAAAGAUGGCGGCGGAAACGCUGCUGUCCAGUUUGUUAGGACUGCUGCUUCUGGGACUCCUGUUACCCGCAAGUCUGACCGGCGGUGUCGGGAGCCUGAACCUGGAGGAGCUGAGUGAGAUGCGUUAUGGGAUCGAGAUCCUGCCGUUGCCUGUCAUGGGAGGGCAGAGCCAAUCUUCGGACGUGGUGAUUGUCUCCUCUAAGUACAAACAGCGCUAUGAGUGUCGCCUGCCAGCUGGAGCUAUUCACUUCCAGCGUGAAAGGGAGGAGGAAACACCUGCUUACCAAGGGCCUGGGAUCCCUGAGUUGUUGAGCCCAAUGAGAGAUGCUCCCUGCUUGCUGAAGACAAAGGACUGGUGGACAUAUGAAUUCUGUUAUGGACGCCACAUCCAGCAAUACCACAUGGAAGGUAACUCACUCCUAUAUUUUCCUUAAGCCCUUAGUGUCAUAUCAUGGAAGUUCCCCAGUUCCCUCCUCCUCCUCCUCCUCUUAAGAGUAACAGUGCUUCACUGUGGCUUCCCUUGCAGAUUCAGAGAUCAAAGGUGAAGUCCUCUAUCUCGGC
This 564-nucleotide small RNA is filed under the name Pan troglodytes (chimpanzee). Its description in RNAcentral is "retained intron". The record is from RNAcentral. Lineage: Eukaryota; Metazoa; Chordata; Mammalia; Primates; Hominidae.